UGGGGAAUCUUGGACAAUGGGCGCAAGCCUGAUCCAGCCAUGCCGCGUGAGUGAAGAAGGCCCUAGGGUUGUAAAGCUCUUUCAACGGUGACGAUAAUGACGGUAGCCGUAGAAGAAGCCCCGGCUAACUUCGUGCCAGCAGCCGCGGUAAUACGAAGGGGGCUAGCGUUGUUCGGAAUUACUGGGCGUAAAGCGCGCGUAGGCGGACUAUUAAGCCAGAUGUGAAAUCCCGGGGCUCAACUCCGGAACUGCAUUUGGAACUGGUAGUCUAGAGGUCAGGAGAGGUUCGUGGAAUGCCGAGUGUAGAGGUGAAAUUCGUAGAUAUUCGGUGGAACACCAGUGGCGAAGGCGACGAACUGGACUGAUACUGACGCUGAGGCGCGAAAGUGUGGGGAGCAAACAGGAUUAGAUACCCCUGUAGUCC
This 424-nucleotide ribosomal RNA is filed under the name uncultured prokaryote. RNAcentral describes it as "bacterial SSU rRNA". It matches the Rfam family "Bacterial small subunit ribosomal RNA", at positions 355 to 796 of the family's 1533-position model. The record is from RNAcentral.